CCUACGGGAGGCAGCAGUGGGGAAUAUUGGACAAUGGGGGCAACCCUGAUCCAGCCAUGCCGCGUGUGUGAAGAAGGCCCUCGGGUUGUAAAGCACUUUCAGUGAGGAAGAACGCCUGGUGGUUAAUACCCAUCAGGAAAGACAUCACUCACAGAAGAAGCACCGGCUAACUCCGUGCCAGCAGCCGCGGUAAUACGGAGGGUGCGAGCGUUAAUCGGAAUUACUGGGCGUAAAGCGCGCGUAGGUGGCUUGAUAAGCCUGUUGUGAAAGCCCCGGGCUCAACCUGGGAACGGCAUCCGGAACUGUCAAGCUAGAGUGCAGGAGAGGAAGGUAGAAUUCCCGGUGUAGCGGUGAAAUGCGUAGAGAUCGGGAGGAAUACCAGUGGCGAAGGCGGCCUUCUGGACUGACACUGACACUGAGGUGCGAAAGCGUGGGUAGCAAACAGGAUUAGAUACCCCAGUAGUC
Molecule: ribosomal RNA, 465 nt
Filed under: Vreelandella stevensii
Lineage: Bacteria; Pseudomonadati; Pseudomonadota; Gammaproteobacteria; Oceanospirillales; Halomonadaceae
Description: partial 16S ribosomal RNA
Rfam family: Bacterial small subunit ribosomal RNA
Source: RNAcentral